This 75-nucleotide transfer RNA is filed under the name compost metagenome. RNAcentral describes it as "tRNA-Asn". It matches the Rfam family "tRNA". From Rfam's summary of the family: Transfer RNA (tRNA) molecules are approximately 80 nucleotides in length. Their secondary structure includes four short double-helical elements and three loops (D, anti-codon, and T loops). The record is from RNAcentral.
UCCGGGAUAGCUCAGUGGUAGAGCAAACGGCUGUUAACCGUUUGGUCCCUGGUUCGAGUCCAGGUCCUGGAGCCA